UGCAAGACAUGGGAUUCAUGGGUUAUAUAGAUUGUAUAGUAUCAACGUUGCUGGAGAUUUACUAAGUGUUGGUGAUAAUACCAUAUAUUUAACUCAAUCGAGAAGUGUAGGACCUUUUCAAGGUGUUAUGUAUGAUUAUAUUCGUCUUGAAAGUCCUUUUACAACUUGAAAAAGGAAAUAGGAUAGAAUGGAAAUAAUUGACUGUGGAGGGGAUUUAUUUUUUUUUUUCUAGAGUUGUUUUUUAUUCAUUUGUAUGUAAUGUAAUAUAUAAAGGGUGUGAAUAUUAAUAAAACCAAAUGUAUUAAUGUAUAUAUGAUUAAUGCAUUUCUAACAUAUAGAAGAAGACAUGAUGUUGCCAAAAAUAAAAAGAAGAAGAAAUGAUAGGACUGCUAGUAGUACUCAUUGUACUAUUUCUAACCCAUGCUCUUUUGUUCCCAUUGCCUUUUUAGCCAUGUAAGAACCAAGAGAAGCAACUACUAGUAGCAAUAAUGAAACAAUGGCAAUGAUGAGGAUAGUAAUGAGCAAAAGCUUAAGGUAUGUUACAUAAACCAUCGAUGUAAUCAAGCAAAUCACACAGAGAUUAGAGAGAUAUUUAAAAGCUAUUUCUCUUAUCUUGUCCACAUCCUCUUCUUGGGGUCUCUCUCUUUCCCAACCACAGCUUGUUGUUGUUCUCUGCUAACAACUCUCUUCUGAGCCACAGGGACUUGGUUCGACGAACUGACUGGUCUCGUUGGUCUGGUUAAUCUGGCACCAACUUUUGGUGGGUCUGAUUUCCUGAUCCGUUUCUCCUUCAUCUGAGGUUCAUCACCACCGUUGUUCUCUGUUUCACCGCUUCUCGAGACCCUCUUCUUUCUAGUCGCUUCAUUGAGGUUCAAAGAAUCGUUUCUUCGAGCAGCACUAGCCUUGAGCCGGUUUGAUGUUCUCAAGAUGUUGUUGUUAUUGUUGUUGGAUUCCGCAUUCUCAUUGCCGAAGUUAUCUUCUUUGAAACAAGUCUUCACUUCGUUAGGAGUAGCACUCGCAACAUCAGGGAACUCUCUCGUUGCUGCCAUUUGCUGUACGUGCAGCUCUUGCUCCUUUAGCCUCACUUCAAGCUCUUUAAUCUGCAAAAAUCAAAAACCAAAGUCUUUUCACAUAUCCGGGUGACUUGAUAAACUCGAAGAUCCUUGAGACAAUCCAUGAAACCAACCUUCUGUCGUAGUAAAACUGCUUCUUGAGUUUGCUCGUCUUUUUGUUUUCUCUCCAACUCUUUAAUCUGAAACACCAUAUCGAAUCGAAGGCCGAGAUGUUGAGACAUUUAUUUAAAAUAAAAAGAUUGUAAAGUUUUGAGAAUGAAUCAGUGCGCCUUCCUAACCUUAUGUUGCCAUACAAGAGCGUUGCUUUCAGAAUCUUUCAACUUAUUCUCAUAAUCCUUAGCCUUCUGUUGCAACACAAGGGAGUUUCCUUCAGAGUCUUUCAACUUAGUCUCAAGAUCCUUAACCUGCAAGCAUCAUUUAAGAUGUUUGGACUGUCUAUAACAAUCAUAAUGAGCUUUAUGUAACAAUCAACAUUGAUAUAAGUAAACCUUCUGUUGGUAAGCUGCAGAGUCUGAUUGGUGUCUCUCCCGAAGCUUACACUCUAGCUCCUUGACCUUUAAAUGAGAAGACGGUUUGUUAGUCAUAAAAUGGUAAGAAAAUCAAUAAUAUCAUCAAGUGGAAGAAAAUAAACCUUCUGCUGGAGAUUGGUACAAGUCUCAUCUCUGCUUUUUAGUUUUUCUUGAAGCUGUGCGUUUUGCUUUUCCGAUUGGUUAUGCAGUGACUCAAGCUGGCUUUCAAGCUCUUUGUUCUUUUCCUGGAGACUUCGGUAUGAAUGGUCUCUUCCUUUAUUCUUACCUUCCAGGUUCUGUAUGUUCUCUUCCAGCUUCUUUAUCAAUUCCUCUUUAGAUCGGCUUUCAUGUCUUGCUUUCUCCACCUUUAAAAGAUUUACAUUGAGCAAUAAGAGAAAGCUGUGUGACGCAACCCAGGAAGAUCAAAACAAAAGCCUUUCAGAAGUCAUACCAUUGCUUUCAUCUUCUGAAUCUCACCGGUAUCAACUUGCUUCCUCGCAGGACCCAACUCAACUCCUCUCACACGCGUUGCAAAGUUUAGUGAACUUAAAGUCUCACUCACAUCGUGCUCAGAAGGACUGAUUUGCACAAACAUCAGCGUCUUGGAGUCACCUCCUGCAUCAUUUGCACAUUCACACAAGUUUUUAAGCUCAGUGUAACCACAGAUUGAUCCUUAUGAAAAGGUAAAUAACGAUUCUUACCCAAUGAAUCUUGUAGUAAGUGAGUUAAUUUCGAGUUUCUGAAAGUGAACAAAUGGAAAAGUGUUAACGCAGACAGUAUUAUUAAGCUCAUAACAGAGACGGAGAGAGAUAUAGACUAACCGGUAUGGAAUGUGACUGCUCUUUGUAGCCAAUGCAUAAAUCACAUCCCCAAGAGCUGAUAGCGAUCUAUUGAUGUUCUGUGCUUCCUUCAGACGCUCACCUUGCACGUCAGUCUUUGCCAACCUCUCACUUCCUGCUAAAUCAACAAGCCAAAGCGUGCUUUUUGUGCAGUCACCAUUCAUCAGGUUCUUCGCUUUCACCAUUAUAGAGAGCAUGCUGCGAAGAAAACUUAAUAUAUCAAACAACCCUCAUAGUGAAAUAUAAGAUGAGGGAAAGCCAAACAUUCAAAAAACAUAGUGAGAGGGGGAUAAAUCCAAAUAUACCAGUGCGAGCGGCUACUAUGUUCAUUCACAUUGUUGGAUCCAACAGCUCUUGCAUUGCUCCCAGCUUGAAGCACAUUCCACACUUCAUUUAUAUUUUCCACUUUUGCUUCAACUAACCCAGGAACAUGAUGGGAUCCAUCAAAUGAUUGUUUGAUCUCCAACCUGAGUAACCAUAUCAAUAAAUAUUGCGAUCAAGCUCUGUAAAAAGUCUAUGUUUUAGUUGUGUGUUUAAAGUAGAGAUUUUUACUUCUUUGAAGCUGGUGAUGUUGCCAAUAAGUCUCUUAUCUGUUCGUUGUAGACCUCAAGGACACUAACAGAAAUAUUAUAUGAAAUUGUCUCUCGCCUUUCGUUAGCAAUUUCAAACAACUGCUCAACGGUUCUAUAGUUGACACCCCUGUUCUGUGGGGUACCUUCCAUUGUAAACGUCUUCCCUGUUCCUGUUUGCCCGUAUGCAAAGAUACACACAUUGUAGCCGUCUAGCACAUUUGUUGGUUUGGCACCAUGUGGUGAAGCCGGUUCAUGGCAAACCGAAUCAAAGGUAUAAUAAUAAUAGUAGAUAUACUUCAUACAAAUGUAGAAAUGCUAUAAUCUAUAAUAAUUUUUAUUUAUUUGUGACAAAAGGGGUAUCAGUUUUGGACGAAAGCUGACAGAAAAGGAAGAUUCAUAAUAGAGAAUGUGAGGGCAGGCAAUUAUAGUCUCUACGCAUGGGGUUAUGGUUUUAUCGGUGACUAUAAAUAUGAACAAAACAUUACCAUCACUCCAGGUACCAUACUACCAUAGUGACAUAACGUAGAUGCAGAAAAAAAAAUCGUGGUUUCGUAGUUUUAAGCCCCCACUAAAAGGCCCAUUCUAUUCAUCUUGGUGUGCAGGUAGUCAGAUGAAUGUAGGGCCUAUAGUGUAUGAGCCACCUAGAAACGGUCCAACGUUGUGGGAAAUAGGUGUACCGGACCGAACAGCCGGAGAGUUCUAUAUACCGGAUCCUUAUCCUACACUUAUGAAUAAGCUUUAUGUUAACCCACUUCAAGACAGGUUAGUACCAUAAUCUUAAGUACUCUGAUCUAUAAAUAUUUUUACUACCUAUGAGUAGAUAUCAUCAUUUCCAAGUUUUAGACAUUUUUUGUUGUUUAUGAAUAUAAAGAACAUAAUUUGAACUGAAUUUUAAAAUGCAGAUUUAGACAAUAUGGAUUAUGGGAUCGUUACGCAGAUUUAUACCCUCAAAACGAUCUUGUCUACACAGUCGGUGUUAGUGAUUAUAAAAGAGAUUGGUUCUUUGCACAUGUAACCAGGUACCUACAUAUAAUUAAGUUCUAUCCCAAUUCCUAAAUGACAAAUCAUCUAUCUAAUCAAAUUCUUUCUUAUAUUAAACCAAAUUUUUUUUUUUGCUUCUUAUAAUAAUAAUAUAGAAAUGCUGGAAAUAAUACAUACGAUUCAACGACAUGGCAAAUAAUAUUUAACCUGGAAAACGUGAACCGUGUCGGUCUCUACACGCUCAGAAUAGCUCUAGCCUCAGCUGCUGAUUCCGAGUUACAAGUUCGGGUCAACAAUCCGAAAUCCGAUCAUAUUUUCACGACCGGUUUAAUCGGAAAAGACAAUGCCAUUGCAAGACAUGGGAUUCAUGGGUUAUAUAGAUUGUAUAGUAUCAACGUUGCCGGAGAUUUACUAAGUGUUGGUGAUAAUACCAUAUAUUUAACUCAAUCGAGAAGUGUAGGACCGUUUCAAGGUGUUAUGUAUGAUUAUAUUCGUCUUGAAAGUCCUUUUACAACUUGAAUAAGUAAUAGGAUUUAUAGUGGAAAUAAUUUACCGUGGAGGGUAUUUAUAUUUUAUUUUCUA
This 4556-nucleotide long non-coding RNA is filed under the name Brassica napus (rape). Its description in RNAcentral is "long non-coding RNA (BNAP_LNC022161)". The record is from RNAcentral. Lineage: Eukaryota; Viridiplantae; Streptophyta; Magnoliopsida; Brassicales; Brassicaceae.